GGUGGCAUAGUCUAGUGGUAUGAUGUCUGCUUCGGGUGCAGGAGAGCCCAGGUUCGAGUCCUGGUGUCACCC
This is a non-coding RNA of Pseudoloma neurophilia, 72 nucleotides long. NCBI's taxonomy places the organism in Eukaryota, Fungi, Microsporidia. The record is from Rfam.